RNAcentral lists this long non-coding RNA (444 nucleotides) under Homo sapiens (human). Its description in RNAcentral is "HSALNT0334736". The record is from RNAcentral. Lineage: Eukaryota; Metazoa; Chordata; Mammalia; Primates; Hominidae.
AAUUAACACGUUCGCCUUUAAUUCUGGGCCAUUUUCUACUCCAGUUUUCACUUGUACCAUCUCUACAGCACCUGCACAUGCUCAGGAACAUCAUUUCAAAGGAUACGGGGAAAAGAGAUGUCACAUGAACACGUCUUAGAAUUUACACUGUAAAUCAAACAAUGUUGCUGCAAAGGCAUGUAAGUUAAUAUAGAAACAAUGGAAGAAUGUAAAGAAAACUCAGAGACAGGGAAGAAAGCCAGGAUAGGCUCCAAGAUCAGCUGGAUGAGAUCACAACAUGUGACCCUCACAGAUGAUAGAUCAAGAAAAUGGGAAGAGCUUCAAAGCCCUGAAACCAUAUAAAGGAGAGUCACCCAACAACUAAAAGCACCCAUCCUAAACUAUUAUGUGAACAAGAAACAAACCUCUAUUAAUAUAUUUGAAUUAUUAAAUAUUUUGAGUCUA